RNAcentral lists this transfer RNA (67 nucleotides) under Marmota monax (woodchuck). Its description in RNAcentral is "tRNA.Ala". The record is from RNAcentral. Lineage: Eukaryota; Metazoa; Chordata; Mammalia; Rodentia; Sciuridae.
GGUUAUGGCUUAGUGGUAGAGUGCUCGCCUUGCACAUGCAAGGCCCUGGGUUUGAUCCCCAGCACCA